RNAcentral lists this ribosomal RNA (324 nucleotides) under Triticum aestivum (bread wheat). RNAcentral describes it as "partial small subunit ribosomal RNA". Lineage: Eukaryota; Viridiplantae; Streptophyta; Magnoliopsida; Poales; Poaceae. The record is from RNAcentral.
AUGGCCGCGACAACGGCGUCAGCUUCGACGAGUUUCAUCACCUCCACUGCUAUCUCAGGCAGUAGCCAAUUGAUGGAUUUGACUGCUGAUCCCUUUGUGUUGGCUGAUGGUGGUGAGAUGGAAAUAAGGAUCAACCAUGGUGGGAUGGGAAUCUUUAAGAGGAAGAAUCAAGCGACACGAGCACCUAAUCCACAUUUAUACAUGACCUGCAGCUUAUUCACAUGGAUCUUAAGCCAGAGAACAUUCUCCUUGUUUCACCUGAUACAAUCAGGGUUCAUGAUUAUAAGGUUUGCUGACUUGAUUCAAGCUAUCCUGGUGGAGUGA